Molecule: ribosomal RNA, 459 nt
Filed under: uncultured bacterium
Lineage: Bacteria
Description: bacterial SSU rRNA
Rfam family: Bacterial small subunit ribosomal RNA
Source: RNAcentral
GACGAACGCUGGCGGCGUGCCUAACACAUGCAAGUCGAACGGGGUAAUCCUUCGGGGUUACUUAGUGGCGAACGGGUGAGUAACGCGUGAAGAACCUGCCUUUCAGUGGGGGACAACAGUUGGAAACGACUGCUAAUACCGCAUAAUGUUAUUUGAGGGCAUCCUCGGAUAACCAAAGCUUUAUGUGCUGAAAGAUGGUCUCGCGUCUGAUUAGCUAGAUGGCGGGGUAACGGCCCACCAUGGCGACGAUCAGUAGCCGGCCUGAGAGGGUGAACGGCCACAUUGGGACUGAGACACGGCCCAAACUCCUACGGGAGGCAGCAGUGGGGAAUAUUGCACAAUGGGGGAAACCCUGAUGCAGCGACGCCGCGUGAGUGAAGAAGUAUUUCGGUAUGUAAAGCUCUAUCAGCAAGGAAGAAAAUGACGGUACUUGACUAAGAAGCCCCGGCUAACUACGUG